UGGUCUGUCCUUUUUCAGAAAAUUAAAUGAACUAGCUCAACGGUGCAUCCUUUAGACGCGAUUAAACGAAAAACAAGAUCUCUCUACAUUUAUGCAGUGUAAAAGUUCAGAUCUGAAAGCGCAUUGUUAUAUGAUGUAAGCUACUGAAACGUUAGUAAAGAGAAGAGAAUGUACCUCGUCGGCAGCGACAGAUGGACCGGGAGAGGAAGCAUCGAGGCUCGGUCCAGGAGCUCCAGUUGGUGGAGCGGGAGGUCCAAGCAUAUCAGGUGAAGGAGCCGGAGCAUGGUGUUUCUUGGAUUUCUUGCUUUUGCUCUUGCUCUUGCUUGGAGCUGGGGCCGGAACCUCAGCAGUAGUUGGUGCCGCAACAGGAGCCAGAGGAGAGGCCGAGCUCUCUGGUGGAGUCGUCGGUGCAGCAACGGGAGGCGAUCUGGCUGGAGGAGAGCUCACAGGUACUGGAGCCGGUGGAGAACUCACCGGAGCAGCAGCCGGAGGAGAAGACGGAGCAGAUUUAGAUGGGGCUGGAACCGCCGCAGACUUCUCCGGAGCCGCAACCGGUGGUGAAGAAGUUGGUGGGGAAGUGGUAGGGGCAGCAGUUGGAGCCGGUGAUUUAGGUUUGCUAACAGGGGCAGUAGCGGGAGCAGUAGCAGGAGUAGUCGCGGCCGGCGGAGCUUUAGUAGGUGAGGCUGCCGGAGAUUGACCACCAACAGCGGUCACCACAAAACAAAUCAAAACAACUGCAAAUGCACUUCUACGAUCCAUUUCUUGAAGACAGAGGGAGAGUGAAGUAGUAACAGAAACUAAUGACAAGGAGACAACAGACUCUCAAUAAAUAUAUAAAUAAAUGAGGGAGAGAAAAUCAGAAAAAAUGAUGAUUAUAAAAAGAAAAGAAGAAAAAGUUAGGAACGUGUUUGGAUCAGAAAUAGCCGUUGGAUGAGAAGCUAUUGCGGGGCCCACCGGCAUCAAACUAUCAAACAAAGACACAUUGUAAUGUGGCGAUCAAGACUCGACACAGUCUGGAUUGGGGGCCCACACACGUGGACCAUGUAAUUUGCUGUUACAUUACCUGAUUAAGAUAAACUACACCCAAGGUCAUUAAACUAUUAAUAAAUUUACAUUUCAGUAUUUAACUUUAAAAAGUUACAAAAUAAUUAUUAAAUCAUUCAGAAGUUUUUAUUUAAUUCAUUGGGCUAUUAAAUCGCUGUUGUAUGACUUUUUUUAUUCACACGGUCUGCACCAAUCAAAGGAUCUCAUUCUCAUUCUCUUCAACAAUUUAAUUAUUUUCAUGAAAUAACUUUGAAUAUUAUGAAUUUACGAAUCAAAAUCCAAACAGUUUUCUUCUCCGAUCUCUUACAUUGACCUAGAUCUGAGGUAUGUUCUUCUCCUCGCCUAUAGGUACUAAUCUAUUGUACCAAUCGUCGAAUCAUCACUUGGAGCUCACUAACCGAACUUUAGAAAAAAAUACUUAACAAUCCAAUGACUUAAAUAAAUACUUUUGAAUAAUUCAGUGACCAUGUUGUAACUUUUCAAAGUUAAGUCACCUUAGGUGUAGUUUAUCCUACUUAAUAUUGUAAUAAAUGUUUAAUUCUAUCCCCAACCCCUAUACUCUUUGGGGUUUUGAAAUUUAGCCUUCCUACUUUUGAUUUUAAAAUUUUAGUUUCUCUUUGUUUUUAUUUAAAAGUUAAAUUCCAAUUCAUGAAAACUUGGUUAAAUUUGAAUAUAGAUCAUUUUAAUAUUCGAAGAAUUGAUCUAAAAAUAAUAAUAUAUAUUUAAAUUGAAUGGAAAUGUUAUUAAUUAAAUUUUAAUUUUUAAAUUAAGCAGGAGAGAUAUGGAAUUAAAAGGUGAUAGAUUAAAAUUUAAAAGCUGAAAGAGUACAGGGGUUGAAAAAAAUUAAACCUACAAUAACUAAUUGAAUGAAGUAGUGAGACAGCUGGAGGUAGGGAUAGUGGGGUAUUGCUGGGCAAAGAGACAAACCAAUAGGAGGCGGCCACGUAACUGGGUAAAGCUGUUACCGGUGAUAUUUUGAGAUGGGUCAUCGACUCACCGGCAAGAAACUGUAUCUCUGCAAGCAAAACUUGUCUGGAAUAACGUGACGUGUAUUAUACUUAAACACCCUAACCUUUUCUCUUUUCGUUAAAAAUUGUAAAGUGGCUAAGGCCCUUUUUUGUGUUUUUUUUAUCAUCUAUAUAUUAGAGUUUUAAAAGAAGUUUUGCAAAAUAGUUGUGUAAUUAUUUCACCUACACCCUUUGGCCUCUCUCGGUAUAUUAUUGAGAGAGUAUUUAAUUGAAUCGAAUAAAAAAAUUGAGUUAAUCGAGUUAACGAGUCUUAUUUUAUCAUUCUAAUUCAAUUUGAAUUUUUUUCAAAUUGAAUUGAGUAAAAUGAAAUUCUAGUCGAUUCGAAUGAAAUUAGUUGAGUUAAAUUAAAAUCUUGUUAUACUAUAAUUAAAUCCAUAUUAUAGCAUAUAAUUUUGAAACCAUAUAUAUUUGAAAAAAAUUUCAAAAUAAAAAUAAAAAAAAAUUUACUUUAGUAUGAUAAACUUGAAUCAUUAAUUAACUUAUUUAGGUCCCAACAUUAUUAUUUUAGAAAAUUUUUAAUUUUUUAAAUUUCUUUAUAUCUUUUUUUAGAAUUUUUUUUGAAAUUUUUAUAAUUUUUAAAAAAUAUAAAUUUGGAAUUUUUAUAAAUAUUUUGAAAUUUUAAAUUUAUUUUGAAUUAUUUUAUAUUUUUUAUUGAGAGAGAGGUCAAGUUGCUCAUUUUCAAACUUGGCAGAGGCCAAAAAAGUAUUUAUACCAAUAUGUUAUUCGAAUUAUUCGAGUUAUUUGAAUUGUAAAAUUUAACUCGAUUCGAACUCAAAACUCGAAUUACUUAUUCAAGUUUACUUGAAUAAUUUGAAUGACUCGAUUCAAUUAGCUUAAAAUUUGAUUUUUUUUUAAUCGAAUCGAAUUUUGCUCACCCCUACUGUUUUGCACAGCAUCACAAUAUAGAUUUUUCGGUUUUAGAAUAUCGCCGAUCCAUAUUCUUCUUCAAUGCUGUCGAGCUCGACCCUUCCACAAUCAUUAUCUGUACAUCAUCAUCAUACAUUAUAUGAAUAGUAGAAUAUAUUAUUGAAUUGUCAUAUAUAAUAAAUUCAUAUCUCUACAAUUUAAUCGAAGCUUCGAUUUUUAAUUGAUUUUACACUUCAUCUUCACUAAUAUGAUAUCUUUUAAGAACAUCAUAUUAAUCAGACUCAAAUAUUACAUUGAUAUCUAUAUCAUGAAUUUGACCAUUAUAGUUCACCACAACAAAGAACAUAAUGCUGAUUUUAUAUAAAAUUUCUAUAUAUAGUAUUAAUUUAAAUUAAAAAAUUUAUCAAUAUAUAACUAAUAAAACAAUAAUAUCAUUCUGCCUAAUAUAAUAUAUGAGUAUAACAUAAACAUAUUUCAUAAAUAAAAAAAACUAUGCUUAAUGUGAUGCAUUGGAUUUAUAAUAUUAAAUAAAUUAAACUUUAUUAAAUUAUUUCUAUUUUUAAUAUUUUUAAGAAUAAUAUUGAGGGGAAAUUAAAAUAGAUUCUCAAAUAUGAAAUAAAAUAUAGGAUUUAUUUUCUAAAUAUAAGGACGCAAAUUUCAUAAAUAAAUAAUAUUAUAUAAAUCAUACAAAUCCUAUUUCAAAUAAUUUUUUUUAGUUUCAUCAGUCAUUUGUUUUUAAGAUCAACAAAUUCAACCGCGUUUGUAAAAUAUAUUUUUGUAAAAAGUUAGCUUAAUAAUCAAUUUUUUGUUAUAAAAUAAAGAGAGAUGGAGAGAAUAAAUAACAAAUAAAAUAUGAAAGCAAUAGAGAAUGUAUUUUAUUAAUCAAAAUAGAUGAUUACAAUGUUUAUUUAGAGUCUCUAUUUAUAUGUAUAAGAAGUAUAAAAGAAUUAGAGAUCUAAUUCUAACUAUUAUAAUUUAAAGUACCUUGAAACUUUAUCUUCAUCAUGAUGGACAUCCAUUUAAUAAGAUAUUCAUAACACUCCCCCUUAGAUGUCCAUUGAUAGAAGAUAAUAUGCCUCAUUAAAACCUUAUUAGGAAAAACCCUGUGGAAUAAAAACCCAAUGAAGGAAAAAUAGUACACAAUCUAUAAUACGCAUAAUCUGUUGCCUCAUUAAAAACUUUACCAGGAAAACCCAAUAGGACAAAAUCUCGGUUAAGGGAAAAAUAGUGCAACACGUAUUUACUCCCCUCAUGAAAACUAUAACAACCCGUUUUUAGUGAAAUCAAAUUAGUGGUUUUGGGACCACAAAUCUGAGUUAAAAAGAAAAUUUAUUUUAAUAUUAUUGCAUGGUCCGCAUUAUGAUAGGAAUGCUAUAUGAAAAUUCUGAUAAAUUUUUUUUAUAGAUUAUGUGUUUAAUUAGAGAAAGGACCGAAUUGCAUAAAAUGUAAAAGUUGAGAUAUAGUAGCUAAAAGGAUCAAAUAGCUAUGGAUUUCAAAAUAAGAGGUCCUUAUAUGGCAAUUAGACCAUUAAAUAAAAGUUAGUAGAUAUUUUUGGUGAUUCAUCCAUGAAAAAUUAGAAAAAGAAAAUGAUGAAAUUGGAAAGUUUGAAAAAUUAAAGAUGAUAAAUAAAAUAAAUAUCAAAUAACAUCAUUUUAUAUCAUCUUCUUCCCCAAAAUUUAUAUGGAAACCCUAGGAGAGAAAAAGGAAACUAAUCAAGCUUAAUUAGGUAUGAAUUCUUGUCCCCUUUUUAGUAAUUUUUAUAUUCUUGUGAUCGAAAUAGUUUUUAGUAACAAGCGUUAAAAGUCUACUAUCUAUUUUGGGGAUUAAUUUGUAAAGUUAUCAAAGUAUCAAAGUUUUUCCAUGGAUGAAUAUGCUGAAAUUUUGAAAUUUAUGGUAGAAAAUGAAAGGUUGUUGAUAGAUAAACAACUUUUACAAAGAGAAUUUUGAUGAAAUUAUGAUUUAUGGACUAAAUUGUAAAGAUGUAAAAGUUAUGGAAAAAUUCUAAAUUUUGUGAAAUAUAUGUGCUGUAAAUGUUAUAUGAAAUUUUCGGUUAGGCUUGGAAUAAGGAUUAAUUGCCUGAAUUUCAUUUUCCGAGCCUAAGGACGAAAUUAGAAUUAAUAAAAAGUAUAGAGGUAAAAUGAUAAUUUUUCCUAGGAUAUGAAUUGAAUGUAAAUGAGUAUGAAAUGGAUUAAAUUGAUGUUAAAUUUAUUUAUAUAGAUCCAGAUAACUCAAAUUUGAAGCUAUAUCGAGGAAAAUAAAAGGUGACAGAUUAGUAGACUUUUAAAUACGAACAAGUGUCGAGGUAAGUUCGUGUAACUUAAUUAUGUAUAUUUAUAUGUUUGAAUUGCAUGUUGUACUUAUGAGAAUUCUAUAAAUGAUUAAUGUAUGAAAAUAGUCACAUGCCCAAAAUUUUUCGAUAAAUAAUAAAUUUCGUUUGAAUAAUGAAAUGCGAUGGAUACAGUAUUUUCCCGUGCUGAUUAUAGUCCUGAAUAUGUUGCAGACAUUAUAGCUCAGAAGAGCAACCUGUUAGUAGUAAUGCUUAAAAUGAGGAAUAAAGCUUAACCGAGUUCCCGCUACACUAACCCGAUCAAGAUUGGGGAUCACCUGAAAUCUAAUCCAAACAAAAUGAGUUGUGAACUCAAUGCAUAAAAGAAGGUUAAGUUUAUUCAAUUAGUGUUCAUUUAUAAAGUAGUUUCAAAAUCAGAAAUUCGGUUCGGUACAAAACUAUUUACAGUUCAGUUUCAAAACAGAUCAGUUAUAUACAUAUAUUUAUAUAUCUAAAAAUUCAUAUAUAUAUAUAUAUAUAUUGUAGAUCAGAUUUAGAUACAGAUAUUCCUAAACCCCACCUGCUACACACCAUCUCUGACCAUUUCAACACACCGUUAAGGACAUUCAAUGCCCAUCCAACCAUAUACACCACAAGUGUCUGUUUGACACGUUUACAAUAACACAACUUAGCUGCUGGAUCAUAAUGUGUCAAGUGCCAAAAUUGAAACUAUUCACAUAGUGGCCUAACCACUGAUUCAAAGUAGAUUACUUCCUUCUUCAUAACAUCCCAACCCAUGCAAAUGCAGAGUACAAUUACCCACAAUGCACUUACAAUUAUAAUAUUCAUACAUCCAUUACAGAGUAUCAGAGAGUUCUCAUUCAACCAAAUUCAGAUCAUUCAUACAAUGGGAAAAUCAUUAUCAGUCAUAAACAACAUUUACAGCCUCAAAAACGGGUUACGAACCCCUUUUAUAAUGCCACACGGUCAUGUCCUUGCCCAUGUGGCUCACACGACCUGGUCACACGCCCAUACCCUUUGCUCAUGUAGUUCUAACAUGUAAACAGAGAGUUACAUGGCUUGGACACAUAGCCGUGUCCUUGUCUGUGUGAUUCACACGGCAUGGGCACACGCCCGUGUGCUUACCCACGUAGUCCUAAGUCACAAACAGUGAGUUACACGGCUUGGACACACAGCCGUGUCCUUACCCGUGUGACUCACACGGCCUGGGCACACGCCUGUGUGCUUACCCAUGUAGUCCUAAGUCACAAAGAGUGAGUUACAUGGCCUGGACACAUGCCCAUGUCUCAUGCCCGUAUGAACCUUACACUACCAUGGCCACACAUUGACACAUGCCCGUGUGCCUUUCCUGUAUAGUUCCAAAUUGAUGAACAGUGAGUUACACAACCACCCACAAGGCCUAGACACAUGCCCGUGUGCCUGGCCGUGUGACGUCGAAAGCCAGCAUUUCCGGCUACUGAAACUUGCAAAAUUAAGGUCUCUGGUACGCACCUAUUUUUGUGUUGAUUAAGAGACAAUACGGAGAUUACUCGGAACCUAAUUAACUAUUCAGCAAUCAAUCAUUUGACUAAAUCGACUAAUUAACACAACAUUAAUACACAAUCAACUAUGUCGAAUAAUUCGACAGGAGGAAACUUCAACUACUAACGCUUACAAACAAUUCAACCGUGUUAAGUUGGCACAACACGCAAAGGGUUGCUUCUCUCUACACUCACUGUAACACCCCUAACCCGUAUCCAUCGUUGGACUAGGGUUACGGGGCAUUACCGAAAAUAUUGGAACAUUUCGUAAUCACUUUACAAUCAAAGUCAAACAUAAGCAUAAAGUCCCUACUUAGGUCAAUGAGACCAUAAACAAGCAUUAAAAAGAGGUCGGGACUAAACUAAACACACUCGUAAAUUUCAGAACUUAGAAAUUUUUUUCAAUUCUAUUGAGGUCACACGCUCGUAUGACCAGGCCGUGUGCCUUACAUGGGCACCAGACACACCCAUGUAAUCCAGUCGUGCCAAAACAGAGCAUGCACACUGACUUUUCCCCACGGCCAAUAAACACGCCCGUGUGCUAUGGCCGUGUGAUACUUAGCUAGCUACUAACUUUAGCCUACGGCCAUAUGACACGCCCGUGUGUCAAGGCCGUGUAAUUUUUAAGAGAAUACUGUUUUUCUUAUGUCCCCUGACCGUGUAGCACAAUGAAGGCUUGGUUUAAGCCAACUUGCCACCCAUUAUGAUUCAACCUACAACAAGGAAACAAACAUAUAUAUGUACAACCCAAUCAACCAUUCUUUAAGCUAAAACAUACAUCAUUCAUGCCAUAGUUGCAAAUUAACAUCACAUAUCAUAAGCCAUUAUCAAAUAUGAGUUCAAACACAAAUUAGCCAAAUCUCAUGGCUAACUAUAUACAUCACAAAACAUAAUUCACAACUACUAGCCUAUACAUGCCAUACUUCAAAUAUUUACAUUUUCAAUAGUACCAAAAUGAGAUCGAUAGUGUGGUGACGAUCCUAAACUAUCCCCGAGCCUUCAGUAGCUACGAUAUUUGUAAAACAGAUAGUAAACACACAGAGUAAGCUUUCAAAAGCUUAGUAAGCUCGUACUAAAAACAUUCAUAGUAUAUGAACAUAAAAUGAUAACCUAUGAGUAUUUGUACAAUUUCAAUCCAUAUAACUAUAUCAACUCAAUGAGAUUCAUAUACAUAACAUCAUCUACCACUUAGGCAUUAUACAUACCUGAAGCUUCCCAUACUUAUUCACUUUUGUACUUACCUCAUGUUGAAUGUUAUGAGACUUUCCAUAAGUUAUUCAUAUUUUAUACAUCAGCACACUUAGUGCUAUAAGGUUAGUUGAAGCUAAAUAUUUCCGCACACUUAGUGCCAUCUCAAAUAAUCGAGACUAAGUUGGUAUCGCACACUAAGUGCCUCAAGUAGCCGAAGCUAGUUAAAUCGCACACUUAGUGCCAAAGCUAGUUUAAAUAGCACACUUAGUUCCAAAACUUCCGUUUCAUCACCAUAUUAUCCAAUUCAAUUAUAUACAACCUAUGUAUAAUAAAGACAUCAAAACUUACUUAACAUCAUAUUUUAAGUACGAACUUACCUCGUACUCGGAAUUUGUCGACUCGGACUAUCUACUUGAUAACCUUUGACUUUCCUCGAUCUAAGUCCGAAUUCCUCUUUUCUUGAUCUAUAGGUUUUCAAAAUUAACCCUUUUAUUCACCAAUUAAUUCAAUUCAAUCUAUAAACACAUAUUUAGGGCAAUUUGCAAAAUAGCCCUUGCAUUUUCACAUUUCGACACUUUAGUCCCUAUUUCACAAAAUCACAAAAUACACAUAAUUUGUAUAUACUUAUGCUUGGUCGAAUUCUACUAGUACUCAUACUAGUCCACACAUUUCAUUUAUUUCACAUUUUAGUCCCUCAAAAUAACAUUUUCACAAAUUAGCCCAAAUUUGCUCAAAUCCAACUAAAAUCCAAAGACAAAACAUGUAAACUCAACAUCAAGCUUUCAUAUUUCACCAUUUAACAACGCAAAACUCAUGAAUUCAUCCAUGACACAUUUUUAAAUCAUCACAAAAUUAGAAAUUGAGGCAUGGGCUUUAUAGUACACUUAGCAACGAUCACAAAAAUGUAGAAAUUAUCAAAAAUCGAAGCAAAAACAUACCUCAAUCAAGGAAUACAAUGGCCGAAUCCUAGGUGUUCUUUUUCUUUUAUUUUCUUUGUAUUUUCGGUUAAGAAUGGACAUAAAAUGAUCCAUUUACAUGCAUUUGUUUUAUUAUUAUUAACAUAAAAUCUAAAUGACCAUUUUCCCUUUUAUUCAACCAUUAAAAAUUCACCUAACACAUGCCCUUUUUUGUCCAUUCAAAUCUCCAAUGGUCAAAUAACCACAUAAGGACCUUUACUUUAGAAAGCCAACUUAAAUAAGCACUUAAACAUCUAGCACACAGCUUUUACAUUUUAUGCGAUUAGGUCCUUUUUGCAAAUUAAGUACACAAACAGUUAAAUUUUCGCACGAAACUUUUACACAAAUCAAUUUACAUAUCAUAGACACAGAAAUUAAUAUUAAAAAUAUUUUUCUAACCUGGAUUUGUGGUCCCAAAACCACUAUUCUAACUAAGGUCAAAACCAGAUUGUUACACUCACGCCUAAGGGAAAAAAUGACUAGUUAACAGAUAGUUUAAGUAAAGCAAUUCAACAAUUCUCAAUUUAACAUCGUAACAAAAUCUAUCCAAAAACUCGUAGAAGUCAAAAGAUUUCAACAGAACUUACACAGAAGUCUUUCAGUAAUGUAAAGAAUUCACUAAUUCCCGAUGAUCACGUGUAGAACACACUCGACGAGAAGAAUUCAAAGAAGUAAACCAAAGAAAGAAAAGGACAAUAAACAUAUAUAAAAAAAUAAAAAGAAGAAAAAAAAUACAGAUGUUAACUAAAUUCUAAUAAAUUUUGUCUUAACCACCAGCGUACCUUUAACAACUAGAAAAAAAAUUUCUCUUAACGCAUAUGAUAGGGUUCGAAUUCGGGACCAGAUAGAUGCUUAACCAGUGAACCAGUAGGCUUAUUCUUGUCAUAAGUUCUUACAGAACUACCUUUACCCAUAUACCACAUGGAUACAGAUUGAUCUAAAAAAAUAAAACUUUUAAUGAUGGCACUCGAACUCCAGACCUUAAACAUAGAAGCAGAACACAGAACUAGAGAUACAAAAAUUAAUUACUACAAAAUCUCACAAUUAAACUCUUAAAAUUUUGGGGCGUUACAUAUACUUUAGCUAAUUGGUCAUGCAGCUGCGCUUGCAAUUGAUCUUGCAUGUCUUUUUGAAUUUGUUCUAGUGUCUCUAACCUUUGAUCCAUGGCUUUGGUUUUACCACGGGAACUAUAACGAUAUUCGGUUGGCAGAUUCUUGUUGGUUUCCAGGGUAACUGUCAUAAUUUUGAUUAAUUAGGGUUUAUUUAUGAAAUUUAAUGUAUAUGAUGAAAUGUAAUGCUAAUGAAUGAAAAAUGAAUGCAAAAAGAGGCAUUGAUUCUGAUUUAAUUCUAUUAGAACAACUUUAUUAGAAAACAAAUUUCUUUACAUAAAACGAAUAUAUUUUACAUAUACAGUCUUGCCCUAAUACUUAAAGCCUUGACUUUCCUAAGAAGCCAAGCUAAUUCUCGGCCUUGACUUGUUUUUGAUUCAUAUCUCAAGCAUAACAUGUCAGCUUGAACUGCUAGGGUUUGCAAAUGGUCGGCUACUUCUCGUACUUGAGUUAAAGCUUCGCCUAUGAUCUGAUCUUUAUCCCUGAUCUAACCUUGAGAGUGUUAAAAUUGCUCUUUCCAAUGUUCAUUGUUCGUUUCAAGAAGCUCAAUUCGAAGUUCACAAUUUUGCAGUGUGGUCUCGAGCCCUUCUAUUUUUCCCUUCAACCCUUCAAUCUGUUCUUCUAUUUUUCCCUUCAACUCUUCAAUUUAGUCAGGCUUGCUUUCAACUCGAUCACAGAGUUGCGACUAUGAUGUUGAUGCAGUGACCUUUCUAAUUCCGCUACCUGGGCUCUCAAUCCAACGUUUUCAUUUUGGCUUUCUAACAAAUCCCUUUUUAGAGCAUCUUCUCGAGCUUGAGGCUCUUGAAAUUUCUUUUCCCACUGAUCAACUUGAAUAUUUUCUUCUUAGAUUUCUUACUACCACUAUUCUGAUGUUUUACCCAACCCAACAGUCCUUAUCGACAAAUGCAGCUUCUUAUAAUCUGUUUUUAGACUGCCUAAGUCUUCCUCAGCCUUGUUCUUUCCUUUUUCUCAUUUUUUCAUCUUCUAACUUCUAGACGUCGACGUCUAAUCAUAGCUAAACCUUUUCCUCUUCCAACUUUUCUAUCCUUUUCCUUAGCUCCGAACUCUUCUUUUUGAAGUCUUGCUUUACAAUCUCUAAUUUAGACGGGAUCACUUGCAAGUGUUCUUCUAUUGGCUAGGUACUUUCUUGGCUUGUGAAGGGACAUUGUCAUUGAUUCUUUUACCCUACCACCAAUCAUAUUCUGGGGUCGUGAUGAGAUUUGAGAAAAAUCUAUUCAUUUUGUGAGUUUGGUUCCUCAUGUUCGAAAUUUCACGAACCUUCUUUGUGUACUUGUCAGCUUUGUAUGCAAACUCACAUUGACCCAACCCUUGCGUUGCUAGUAUAAACUGCCUCAACCUAUACUGUCACAAUAAAAGUAGAAGGGUAUAUCUGUCAACUCCUCAUAUCCCGAGUAAAAGGACCCAGUCAAAGUCUCCACAUCUGUACAAAAUUUCAUCAGGGAUCAUCCAAGAGACCCUCCAUUCAAUGUCUUCAUCUUAAAGACUCUGGAGAAUUGUCAUCCACUUUUUUUCAAAAAUGUUGUCUCGUCUUGGGAUAGCUACGAAUUCUUUCAAUAGAGAGUAGUCCUCGAAAAACACUCGAUAAGAGACUUUUUCUACCUUCCAAAAGUAGUUAUGGAAUCAAGCUAACAAGAUUUAUGCACACCCGAUAAAUCUUCCUUCACCAGUUUUUCGGUAUGCACUUAAAGAUUUGAAAGUUUCAGCCAAAAUUGUCGGGACGGAUAUGACCUUUUUGUCAAGCCGGUCAAAUAGAUCUGAAAUUGCAUCAUCAACGUGCCUUAGUGCUUUGGGGAAGAUAACUAACCCAUAAACACUCAAGGCAAAAACAACGACUCUUUUCCUCGCAUCUAGAUGUACCAAGAUCAAAUCUCGUAGACUUUUCCAAGAGAUGCAUUUACUAUCCUCUUUUUGUUUGAUCUAGGCCGUGACCCAUUGCUCGCUCAUCCCAGUUAUGUUCAUUAGUUUCUUUAAGAAAGUCAGGACAUUGGCAGCUCUAGAAUAAGCUUUGUCAACUUGGAUCCUCGGGCAACAGAUGUAACACCCCUUACCAAUGUCUGACGUCGGGACAGGAUAUGAGGCAUUAACGGACUUAAACGCAAACAAUCAUGCAAAGCAGGCCAUAAAAUUUCAUUCAUAUUUUAAAAAAUUCAAUCACAUACACAUGGUCCCUUAUUUGAGUUACAAAGCCCAAAACAUACUUUAAAAGGGUUCGGGACUAAACCGAGAACUUUGGAAAGCUCUAGGAAAAAGUUAGAAAUUUUUCUUAUGAAACAAGGUCAUACACCCGUGUGCCAUCAACACGCCCAUGUCUUCAAGCCGUGUAACUCUCUAUUUAUGACGUCAGUAAAUAAAUUGAACCACACGGCCAGGCCACACGCCCGUGUCACCAGGCCGUGUCCCUCACAUGGUUGAGACACACGACCGUGUCUCAUCCUGUGUAGUUAAAUCUUAGGCUAUUUUCCAAGCCUUUUUGUUACCCUUACAUGCACACACAUUUACAUGGAUCCAGUGGCAUUCAAAAUCCUCAAUUAUGAUACAAAUAUAUCAUUUACCUAUCAACAUGUAUGUGUUACACAUUCCCACAUUAAGCUAAGACUAGCCAUACCAUAGUUAUCUUUGUGCCAAUUUAUUUCAACUUAUCAUCAAACUUCCAUGUUCAAAGCAUUAUUAUUUAUCUCCAUAUUACACAUUUAAUUCAUGGUCAUAAAACAUGCAUUCAACACACAUGACAUAUUGCCAACCAUGCAUGACAAACAAACAUAAUCAUAUCUUCACAUCAUAAACAAUAAAUCAUAACUUGAUUAGCUAUACUUACAAGCCAUAAUCAAUAUGAGCCACAUCUCAUGGCCAUAUAUAGCAGCACAAAAUAGGACAAUACAUUUGGCCAAAUCAUAAUAACACAUGUCAUAGAACUAGGCCCCUCUACAUGUCACUCACUUGAUAAUUCUAACAUAUGUAACAAUAUUCCAAAGGUAUUGGCUUGAUAGUGUGAUGCUGCCUCCAAUGAUCUCCAACCCCGAGCUGACCUGACAACACUAAAAGAAAUGGAAAGGAGGGAGUAAGCUUAAAGCUUAGUAAGUCCAUAUGAAAAUAAUAAGCAAAUUAUCAACAUGAUUCCAUGGAAAUAUAAUCAUAAUUACACUUUUACUUAUUUUCUAGUCAUGUUGUUUUCUCGAGUCAUAGUUACUAAAUUAUUUAUAUCUAGAGCUACGAAACUCAAACUUAAGAUUCGUAAAUUUUACUUGAAACUAGACUCAUAUAUAUUUUCACCAAAAAAUUUCCAGAAUUUUUAGUCUAGCCAAUAAGUACAGUUUAUUCUUUAAAGUUAAACCUAUUCUGCUACUUGACAACUUCAACCUUUCUUUACUAAAAAUCUAUUAUCUCAUAGUACGGGUUUCUAUUAAUGUUCUUGUCUAUUUAUCUUGAAAAUAGACUUAUUAAGGAUUUUAAUCAUAUAAAUUAUAACUCAUAAUUAUUUUUGUAAAAUUUUUAAUGAUAUUUCCAAGUCAGAACAGGGGAUUCCAAAAUCAUUCUGACCCUGUCUCAUAAAAAUUCAAAUAUCUCAUAAUAUGAAAUUAUUUUGCUUACAUCGUUUCCUUUAUAUGAAAAUAGACUCAAAAAGAUUUAAUUUCAUAUCUUAUUCAACCUAAAUUUGAUUUCCAUGAUUUUUUGUGAUUUUUCAAAGUUACACAACUGCUGCUAUCCAAAACUAUUUUAUUACAAAUUUCACUCUUACAUAAUUUCACUUACUUCAUUCCAUCUUACCGAAAGUUAGCUCAACAAUCGAGCAAAUUGCUCAUAAAUUUCCACAAACAUAUACCUUUAUUUAUUCAUCACAUGGUCAUGUUCACAUGUAUUUUCACUUAGUCGAUUUCCCGUUGAACUCAUCGGAAUAAUAACUGAUACACGGUUGCCUGCACAUAUUACCACCCUUGUAACCGAAGCUAUCUAGUACUCAUAGUAGCUUGCACUUAGUACUACACAUGCGACCAAAAAUCUGGUCCACGUUGUAGCCUGCACUUAGUACUACACACGUGAUUGAAGUUGCCGGGUACGCAUAGUAGCCUGCACUUAGUACUACACAUUCGACCUAAUUAUCUAGUACACAUAGUAGUCUGCACUUAGUACUACACACGUGACCUAAAACCAUCUUAAACACAUAGUAGCCUGCACAUAGUACUACACAUGUGUUCUCACAAUGGAUCAUUUGUAUCAUUUCUAUUCCGAAGGUUCAACUAGGAAAUUCCUCACUUUUCAACAUUUAACAAACUCAUUCAUAGUCUAUUUCAAUUCGUAAUUUACAUCAAAUGAUCAUUCUAUAGGCAGCCACAUCUCAUAUAAUAACAAAAUAUAAUAACAUAAAAAGAAUCGAUUUAUUAUUUACAUACAAACUUACCUCGAAUGUGAGCACGGCUAUUUAUUCCGAUUUAGUCCAUAAUCUCAUUCAUUCCCAAUCUAUGCCCGAAUCUCAUUUUCCUUGAUCUAUAAUAUCACAUUUAGCUUAAUAAUUAGUCACAUUAUUCAUAUGGGUCCAAAAAUUAUAUUUUUACAAAUUUAUAUUUUGACCCCUAAACUUUCACAUAUUUUCACUUUUAACCCAAGGCUCGUAAUAUGAUUUUUUAUCCAAUUUCCUUGCAUUUUAAGCCUAUCCGAAUCAUUUUUCAUAACUAUAGCAGCCCCGAAUUUCCACUAAAUCACACUUUUAUGACAAAUUUUACAACUUUUGCAAAACAGUACUUUUUGACAAUUUCACCAAAAAUCACUUAGUAAAAGUCGUUUAUUACACACCGAGCAUUCAUUUUAUACCAUUAGACAUCAAAACACAUGCAUGUCAUCCAUGUUUAAAUUUUUUAAACACAAACCCUAGCUCAAAAUAUGGGUAGAAAUGAGUAGAUCUUGUUACAAGGAUUUCAAAAACGUAAAAAUCAUAAAAAACUGGUCUAGAACGGACUUACAAUCAAGCUUGGAAACUUGAAAAAACCUAGAUAUGUCUUCUCCAUGCAAGUUUCAGCCAUGGGGUAGAAGAUGGACAAAAAUUGGCUUUUAAUUUUGUUUUAAAUUCAUUUUAAUUACUAGAUUACCAAAAUGCCCCUAACUUAAAAAUAUUCUAUUUCACCCAUUUCAUGUCCAUUUUUGUCCAAAAAAUUAUAAAAUGGUCUAAUUACCAUUUAAGGGCCUCCAAUUUAAAAUUUCAUAAUAAUUAGACACCUCUAACAUGUAAAACUCAACUUUUUCACUUUUUACAAUUUAGUCCUUUUGACCAAAUUGAAUGCCCAAACGUAAAAAUUUUCGAACGGAAUUUUAAUGAAAUCAUCCCGUGAAAUUUUAGACCAUAAAAAUAUAAUAAAAACAAAUUUUACUGUGUCAAAUUUGUGGUCCCGAAACCACUGUUCUAACUUGGCUCUAAUUCGGGAUGUUACAACGUAACAGAGUUGUGUACUCUUCUACGGUGGGCACCAAGUCUACCUUCCCAAAAGUGAAGUAGCUAUAGGCGGGAUUUCAAUACUGGGCAAGAGCUCAGAAUAAGUGCUUAUCCACUUUGACAUCGAGUAAAUAAGGUAAAUCACCAUAUCCACGGUAGAAUAACUGCUUGAUUUCGUCAUCCUAUUGGUCCCAUAUUUCUUUCAACUUUUGAAGAUUAUUCUGAGUCACACUAAUGCGGGUGAAAUCCCAUAAUUCCGGCAUGUACCUAUCCGUCAGACUGUCACUCUUCUCUUGUUGUAUUUUCUUGGACCAUAUUCAUAUGGCUGCAUUGUCUUCCACUUUAUCAAGAAAACUUUUUUCCAUGACAAGCCUUCUAUUUAGCAACUGAACGCAAAUCAACACCCUUUUCUAUGAUGAAAAUGCAAUGCAAUCAUAGCCAAAACGAAAGAAGUCAGUACAUUUCAUACAAAGCUAGAAUACAAAACAAGAAAUAGUAAAUAGAACAUAUAUUCGGGUGACCACUAAAGGUUUGAUAUGGUCCUACCCAAAGUGGGUUCUUUAGGACUCAUUACAUGCGGUUCGGUUCUAAAGUACCUGAACGAGCAAAUUUUUCAAUCUUCACCUAUUAUAGGCUCAUACGGACCAAGUUCAGUUCAGAGGAAUACAUUUCCCUAUGGCUAUACGGAGGUGAAGACCUCACAAAGACAUAGGUACGGAUGUAUCCCGAAAGCGAUCCACUAUCUUAUAUGGAGGUGAAGACCUCAAGAAUGAAUAGCUUCUCACUCCCACCUAAGAAGGGCAAAAUGGAACAAUUAUGCCAUGUAAUGUGCGAAAAUAUACUAAGAGAAACUCGAACCAAUAAAGCAAACAUAUUAAAUCAUUAUGUAACCCAAGAUAAUAAAGACAUUAUUUACCACCAAAAUAAAAUAUAAAGAAUGAAAUACAAUGAGAGGAUCGUCAAUUUAAACCGACUUAUCAAUUUUUGACAAAAAGACCAAAAAUUAACUCGUGGCUUGACUCACUUAUUUAUCCCCAAUAGAGUCGCCAAGCUAUCGAAACCUUUUUUUUUUAAAUUGAAUUUUAUUUUAAAAAUAAAAAUAGAGUCGCCACCAAUCCUUUUUAAUUAGGUGUGAUUGGAUUAGCUCAAAACUUUAUUAUUUUAAUAAAAUGUUAGAUUUAAUAAAAUUAUUUUCGGUCUUACAAAAUCCAGGAUAUAGGUUCGGGAGUUGGUUACAUAUGAGGAAGGAUUAGCACCCUCAUAACGCCCAAAAUUAGUACCUAAUAGAUUACUUGAUAUCUUAAUGUCGAAAACUGAAAAUUUGAAAAGAAUUUAAAACACGAUCCCUCUUUGCAUAAUGUUAUUUGAUUAAGAUAUUACUUAACUAAAUUAAAUUUAAUGGAAAAGGCCUUAUCGUGAGUUAAUCGAGAAGAAAGACCAUGCCCCGUGAGUUAGGAAACGAUGCCUCGAAUUCUCAAAAACCAGAAUAAUAGCCAUUUGAUCGGUUCUUAAAUCUUGCUUUUCGUUAUUUUAAAUAGGAUAUUCGAUUACUUCGAUUUUAGGAAGAUGUGAUGCUCUGUAAGUUAGGAGCAUAACUCCUCGAAUUCCAAAAAUAAUGAACAUAGCAUCGGUUUUAAGUAUUUUCUAUACGUUAGAUAAGACGAAGGUAACUUUUAAAAUGAUAGACAAUUAAUUUAUUUAGGCAUAGUGUAAAAAAAUGAAUAAAUAUAUUUUAACAUGAUGGCAUGGUAAUUAACAAAAUAAAGCAAAAUAGUGAAGGUAAAAUAAAAUGAUAUUAGAAUAAUAAAUAAGUAAAUAAAGAGAAAAACAAAUAAAAAGGUAAAAUAAAAAUGUCAUGCUAGUGAAUAAUAAUAAUGCAACUAUAAUAAUAAUACAUCAAUUUAUAGUAAUAAUAGCGAUAAUCAUGUCACGACCAUUAUCAUAAUAAUAAUAAUAAUAAUAAUAAUAAUAAUGAUAAAAUAAAAAAGUACAUAAAAAAGGGAAUAUAAAUAACAUAAAUUUUAAAUGUUAAAAUAAAAGAUAUAGUAAAUGAAGAGGCAAAAUUAAAUAAAUGAGGGAUCAAAUUGAAACUUAAACAAAACUUAAAACAUGAAUUGUGAAAUAAACAAAGAAAAGGGAAGCGAAGGAUUAAAUUGAGAACAUAACAAAAUUUAAAGUCUAAAUUACAAGAAAAUAGAACAUAAAGGAUUAAAUUAAAAGAAAAUGGAAAAUACAGGGAUUCAGGGGGAAUUAUCCCAACCCUAUUUACAUGUGUCAUUCCCAGAAGGAUCAUCAAUGGGUUAAGAGGACCAAAUAGCAAAAGAGUAAAAUAAAAGGGCCAAAAUAGAAGUAAAAAUAAUAAGCUGUAGGACGAAAUUGAAAAAUAGCAAUGAAGCGGAAGGGGCAAAGCAGCAAUUAUACCCUCCCCUUUAAAAACACGCAGAUCCUAAGGAAAUUCAGGUCGGCCCCAAAAUGACAUCGUUUUGGGGCGUUUAGGGCCACGAUGAAACGACGUCAUUUAGGCAAUCCUAUUUACGUAAAAAAAUAUUAAAAAAUUAUUUUUAAACAGUUUUCAAGACAAAAAUUUACUUUCUCUUUUUUCUUUGAAGCUCUUCCUGUGUCCGGCCACAGGGCCGUCGGUGCUCCGCUGUGGCCAUCGGUCAUCAGCGACGGCAGCUGUCACCUCCGGUGGCUGAAGUUGUAAAAAGAAAGGCUUUUUUAUCUCCAUUUUACGGGGAACCCGAAUCUAAGGCCGAAAUCCUUAAAAUCCGGUCAAAAUCCAAAAACGCAAAAGGGACCUUUUGGUUCGCGGUCCUCCUCCGACGCAGUCUUUCGGUGAAUCCCCAAGGAUUCGACAGCUUUUCAAGCCAGAGGGGACAUCGACAACGGCGACAAAGGUGAAAAAAUGUUUCGUAUUUUAUUUAUUAUUUUUUAUAUGUAUACGAUAUAAAAAAAAACCUUUUUUAAGAACAGGAAGUUUUUAUAUCUUUUUGCUCUUCUCCUUCUCUUAUUACAAUCUGUUUAUUCGGCUUUUAUAGCCGAUUGAUUACAAAUAUUUGUAUUUGCUUUUGCUUUUCUGCUUCUGCUUCUAUUUUUGUUUUUUUCUUUCUUCUUUGCAGGUCGAGAUGGUAGUCAACGAUGAUGGUGUAAGAGUAUGCCCAAAGAUUAAUCAUAAGAUGGUUGUAAUAACAUACUUGAUUUACCAUGUUUAUUAAUAUAAUGCGUUUCCAUUAUUAUUUCAGUUUCUUUUCUGUGUGUAUAAAUAAAUUGUUUUAUAAUAAUGUCCUGAGAAUAAUAUGAUUGUUCUUAAAAGAUCCUUAGUCAAGUAUUAUUGUUGACUAGGACAACAAUAAUGCAUUAAGUCUAACAUGUAGUUGAUUGAUGAUAAAGAGUUGUCAUUGAUAUGGAGUGUCAAAAUCAAUGCAUGAAUAUGUGUGUUAGAGAACAACAUAUUGGACUGACCCACUAUGAGUAUGUUUCUUGGAUUAUUAUGUAAUUGUCACAACAUUACUCAUAGUGAUUAAUAUGUAUCUGAUCCUCAGACUUGAGAUCAUCAUUAUCCCAACAUCGUGAGUUGUAUAUUUUGAUACAGUCAAAUGUACAUCGUAACUGAUUGUUCUAUAAAGGCUGAUGUUGGAUAUACCACAAUCUAUGUAGAGGGAUAUGGUUGAUCAAUAUAGAAUAAGUCCCUCCUACAUAAUGGGAGUAAUAUCUUAGGCCACUUGAUUGAGUGAAACUAGAAAUGCAUGGCCAUGCUCAAAUAAGUUUAUAUGAGAUGUCAUACUUAUUUGUAUAUCAUAGUCUACUCAAGAUAUCAAGAAACAUGAGAUGGACUAUGCUAGUGUGAUUAUUCCAUGACUUGUGUUCAUUCCAAAGAUAAAUGACUUAAGGAUUAAUGCAUGAAAGGUAAAUCACAAAAGGUUAUGUCGAAUCAUGACUUCCUGUAACUUAGGUAGCAAUGAUGCAUUACUAGAUGCCACUCAUUGUCUGUAACAUUAGAAUUGUUCUAGUAUUACUGCUAACGUUAUAAGGGCCUACUGGGUCACACCAUAUGAUUGAGAUGAUCGGAAUAAAACAUAGUUGGUAUUGUGUUUGGUUGUCACAUGAAUUAAAUUAAUUAUAGAAUUAAUUUAAUUGGGCAAUCAAAUAUCGAACAUAUUAUAUGUACAAGGAUGUUGUAUACAUAAUGAGAACAUAAUUCUAUUAAUAUAUGAAUUUGGUUCGUAUAUAAAUUUAAAUAAAUAUAGUUUACCGAAAUCUUUGUUAUAAUUAAUGUAAUUAUAAUGUUUGGUUAAAACAUUAUUAUAUUUAUUUAUUUUAAAUUUUUUUGAAUUAGGAUUCGUUAUAAAUAUACCAAUUAAAAAGGGGAGUUAUAUAUAAAUAAAACCCGAAAACCUAGCUUGAGUGGUCUAGCGGCCAUCAAGCAAAGAAAUCUCCAAAACAGUUUUGGGGACUUCUUCCGUUCAUUGUCAAUUGGGUAGAUUACGUAGAGGUCGGCAUAUGAAAAAGUUGCGACUUGGUUCGAUAGUAGUUCUGAAUUCUUGUUGCCGAGGCGUCGCUAUCUACUCAGAUUGAAGUUUUGAUGAUUUCGAAACCAUUAUUAUAAUUUUUUUUCUUGAUUUGUUCUUCACACAUGGAUCCAUGGUUAGGAUUGCCGGAAUUUUAUUUUUCAGCUGCGCCUUGGGGGCACCAGCAUUCCAACAAAUAGGAAUCACACCCUUGCCAUUUCGGUGAAACGAUGGCAGGGGAGGCAGUCCUCAGGCGACGCAUCAACUGACGUGGCCAAGAGCAGCGGCGCAUAGGGGAUCUAGAGUUUUUUUUUUAUUUUUUGAAAAAAAAUUUAGGUUGUGAGUUUGGGCUUGUGUAACAUUGAGUUUCAGUUUGUAAUUUGGGUUAAGGUAAAUUGGGCUGUAUUUAUUUUAUUUUUGUUUUGUCUUUGUUUAAGUUUAUUUAUCUUUAUUGAGCUGGACAAAAUUGAGCUAUUACAAUAUUAAAAAUGGUUAUACACAUAUUAAAAUCUUUAAAAAUAAAAAUUAAUAUACUCGUUGGAUUCAUCCUCGAUGGUUCAGUCAUGUAAAUUUCCUUCUCGCCCACCCUUUCGCAUUUAAAACACUGAAUCAAUGACCUCAAGAAGAAGCAUAAAAUAAGGUGGUCUAAUCCCAUUCUACGGCAAGUUCGUCUUAGCGUCUAAUUCAAUUCUAGCUUCUGUAUUUCAACAAAACUAGAAUGUUGGUCUAACUUUUUUAUUGAUCACCAGUAGUCCCCGCAAGAACAUGAACCAUUCACAAAAUGGUGGAACCUAUUCCGAUCCCUCAUUACAAUUUUACGGCCGGUGAUCUUAGAAAUCAACUUGGUCACAGCAUGGCAAUCCGAACACACCCGGAGGUUUUUUACAAUCUUGAUAGGGGUCCCCGGUUGAGUGCUGAUAAGACCAUAUGCAAGCGCCAGCUUCUCACUGUGAACUUCAAGUGACUGCUCUUUUUGUUCAUCCCCUAUGUCAUGUAGUACAAUCUCUGUUUGUGGGGUGUAACCAUGAGCUUUGAGCCAACCAUUUAUUUCCUCUAACAUCUCAUAUAUUUCUUUGGUUUUUGGAUGUUUCAAAUCCCCAGCAAGGAACUCAUGAACCCUAUUGCGCACUUCAAUUGAGCUACAACCAGGCUCCUUCUGCACCCCACUGUCUUUCAUCAAGGUCCUUAUCCUCGCCACAUCUUCCCAAUCGCCUUUCGCAGCAUACAUGUUGGAAAGAAGAAUAUAAGUCCCUGAAUUAGCAAGAUUGUGGCUGACAAGAUACUCUGCUAUUUUCUCUCCCAAUUCAAGAUUACCAUGUAACCUACAUGCCCCAAGCAAAGCUCCCCACAAGAUGGGAUCGGGCUCUACCUUCAUGUUCUUCACAAGCUCAUAUGCCUCUUCUAAUCGACCAGCACGACCAAGAAGGUUUACCAUGCAUCCAUAAUGUUCGAUCUUGGGUUCGAUCUCAUACUCCUCUCUCAUUGCAUUGAAAAAACUCCAUCCCUCUUUGACCAAACCAGCGUGACUACAUGCACCCAAAACACCAAUGAAAGUAAUAUCAGUAGGGCGCAAACCAAUCCUGCACAUUUCAUGAAACAACUCCAAUGCAUCUUGGCUGAACCCGUGCAAGGCAUACCCUAUAAUCAUCGAAUUCCAUGCAACAACAUCCUUAUAAUGAAUCCUAUCGAACACUAAUCUCGCAUCCUCCAGGCUCCCACAUUUGCUAUACAUGUCAAUCAAAGCAGUAGCAACACGAACACUCACUUGAAUAUCAUUAUUUUGCAUAUAGGAAUGAAGCCAUCUGCCUGACUCUAAAGCUCCAAGCUGACCACAAGCUGAUAAAACAGUCAGUAUAGUGAUUUCAUUAGGCCUAGAUUUCGCUGCCAACAUUCGCCUGAAAAGCACCAAAGCUUCCUUAGGCAUUCCAUGUUGAGUAUACCCAUCGAUCAUCACAUUCCAACAUACCACAUCCUUCUUCACCAUUCCAUCAAACAGCAACCUUGCCUCCUUAAGCUCCCCGUGUUUCGCGUAACAAGUUAGCAUCGUGGUCAAAGAAACUAAACUCUUCUCGGGCAUUCUCUCGAACACGAGACGGGCGGACCCAACGUCACCCCCUCUCGCGUAAACAUCGACUAGACCUGUCUUUACAUACAAAUCUGAAUCAAACCCAAGUUUGAUAACUUGAGAAUGAAGCAUUUUUCCAUGUUCAAGAGAACAAGAUUUCAAUAUGGAAGAGAAAGUGAACUCGUUAGGCUGCACACCUUCAAAUAACAUUUGCGUAUAGAUAAAUAAAGCUUCUUGGGAGAGACCAUGGAGGGCGUGGGCGUUAAUGAUAGAAGUGUAGAAAAAGAUGUUGGGGUUGAGAGUUCGAUUGAAGAGAGCAAGUGAAUAGUCGAGACGGCCUCGAGAAGAGUAAGAGCGUUGAAGCUUGAAAUUUAGGAUGGGGUGUUGAUGAAGGCCGUGGCGGAGAAGAGCUGCGUGGAUUUGGAGCAAGUGAUGGAUGGAGCUGGAUUUAUCUAAAAGAAGAGCUAGCUUGUCUGGUGAUGGUGGAAAGUUGGUGACGGCGGCGAAUGAGAGAGUGCUACGGUUUAUGGAGGGUGCUGGCGGUGGAGGAGAAGUGAAAAGCAGGGCUGAGGACAUGCUUGAAUGAAGCAAAGUCUCAACAAUUCAGGCACUCACAAGCUUUUGAUAAGCAUUUUGAUUUACAGAGUAUACUCAUAGAUUUGCUUGCUUUGUACUUUUACCUUAUCCAACAUAGAUUUUAAACAAACUUGAGUCGAGUGGAACAGAAGUACCUAACAAGUUCAGAUUAUGUUUGCAUCUAAUUUUAUAUUUUAAUUUGAAAUUUUAAUCUUACGAUUUCAAAUUAUCGAAUACAUAACAUUUGAUUAUUUGAAGACUGAACGGAUAACAAGCAAAAGAUAAUUAUUUGGAUCCUUUUUUUUUUUAAUUUUUUAAUUUUAUAAACACAAUUUAAGAAUAUAUGACCAAAUCAUAAUCCAUACCAAAUAAUUGGUAGUUGUACAACUCAGACUCCAGAUCUUUGAGUCCCCAUAUUUGAGACUACAUUAUCAACAUCACAUAAGGUGGCCCAAAGAAGAAGACCACAAAGUUAAGAAGGCCCACGCUGGAAUGUUGGAGAGAAAUCCCCUAUUUCAAUGCUCAACAAAGAAUCUCGUGCACCCUAAGCUUCCAACACGAAAUUGACACCUACCACCUAUUAAGCCCUUAAUAAGAGCGUAACAUUUGGCUCUCUAGUUGUCACCAAUCAUCUUAUAAAUGGCAAGCACCUUCACCAUUUAUAACCAUCUCGUAAGUCCCCAAAUCAUAUGGUUUAUCUCUUUUCUUUCUUCAAUAUGUUUAACUUGAGCAUCAAGGUGUGAGAUGAAAGUUUUACAAUUCCCUUCUUGCAAGUUCAAGAAAGCAAUCUGAAGAGUUCGUAAGCCCUUAUAAUUGCUAGCAAAUUAUGGGAAAAGCCUUCAAUUGCACCAAUAUCUCACAGGAAACAUUAGCCAUGAGUCCUUCGCAUCGUAGGAGUCUCAGAUGUCUACAAGCUAUUUGGAAAUUCAAGAAUUGUUGGAAAAAUCUGGUUAAAAAAACAAUUUAUAUUUAUAGUGAAAGUUUAAAAAUUUUCAAAAUCGACUUGAUUUGUGAUUUUUAUAGUAAUAAACUUUUAUUAAAAAAUAAUUGUGUUUUGUGCAAGAUGGAUUCAAGUCGAUCCUGACUUUCAACUGAUGACAUUCUCUACUAUUCUUGUACUACAAAAUCCGUCGAGUGUGGGCUCAAGUAAUACGAACCAAACACAGAAUAUGAAAAAAUCAAACACAGAAUAUGAAACUUACUUUCAAUAUGAAAGUAAUUCUCUCAAUAAAAAAUCAAUAAAUAUCGUAAUUUCCAAAAAUUAAAAUUUAUUCUAAGUAAAUAAAUUACUAUUAUUAUAACACCUUAUACCUCACCCGAUCGAAGAAUCCGGAUACAAAGUAUCAUAUCUUACUAAUUGGACUAUGAAAACAACUAAGCAUUUAAAAUCAUACUUAUUUUCAAAAAUUGUCAAAAACAUUUUUACCAAAUUUUUAAGUAACUAGGCUUUUUUAAAUACUUUUUUAUUUUUAAAAUUUUUUAAUGAUUUAUUUAAUUAAACUAUAUGGAUCAAUUGAACUAGUAGAAUUAAUAGCCUGAUUGGUUCGAUUAUCGAUCUAAUUCUAAAAAUCUUGGUCAGAAUAUUUUAUAUUAAUAUACUAAUAUUUGCAAUUAUUGGAUAACGAAAUUUUAGUUGAUAGUUUCUAACUGUACCAAAAAUACCUUAUAUCAUACAAUAGUUAGCAUACAAUUUUCAACUUAAUAAAUCCAAACUACCUUAUAUCAUACUUAGCAUACAAUUUUCAACUUAAUAAAUCCAAACUACUGGACUAUACUUAGAAAAUUAGAGAUAAAAAAUUUACAAAAAUAAUUUAUUGAAAAAAAUGAAAGGGUCCCGCAAUUAUUGUUUUAUUUGCAUAGGAUUGAGAAUAUUUUAUUCAACACGAAAAUGAUCCUAAUAAUUUGAUGACUAUUCUCAUUAUCUAAAUAUUGGUCUAAUGUCAUGUGUUCAUUAUGCUUUUAAGGAUUUAAAUAACUUUUUUUUAUAAUCUCUAAUUUUUCUAAUUUUUAAUAAUAUUAUAAUUUAUUAGCUUUUUUAUUAUUUAUAAGUUUUUAUAAUAUUUCAAUAUUUUAAAUAUGCUUUAUUAAUUUUAUAAUUUUUUAUAAUUUUUAUAAAUUUUUAGGUAAACUAUCAAAAUAGUCACUUUUGUUUACCUCAUGUUAUAUUUAGUCACUUUUGUUUACUUUAGGUUAUAUUUAGUCACUUAUGUUUGAAAUGUUAUGUUUUAGUCACUUAUAUUAUUGCGUUGUAACAUUUUAGUCACUGAGCCGUUAAUUUUCGUUAACGAUGUAACAGUAAGCUGACGUGGCAUGUUAAAUUAUCAUUUCAAAUAAAAAUUUUAGGUUAACUUAUGCAAUCGGUCCCCAUAUUUUUUUCGUUUUGAGCAAUUUAAUUUUUUUCUUUUAUUUUUUUAACUUUCUUUUUUUUUUCCAUUCUCUUCUGCUUCUUCCUCUGUUUUUCUCCCUUUUCCAUUUCUUUUAACGUAGUUUUUCUAUAUUUUCUAUUUAUUAAAACUAGUCCUUAUAUUUUUAUUUUUUUAACAAUUUAAUUUUUUCGAGUAAGGUAAGCUUGUGAACUAGUUUUAACAAAUGAAAAAUAUAGAAAAACUACGUUAAAAUAAAUGAAAAAAUGAGGGAAACAGAAGGAGAAGCAGAAGAGAAUGGGAAAUUAAAAAGAAAAAAAGAAAAGUUAAAAGAACAUAAAAGAAAAAAAACUAAAUUGCUCAAAAUGAGAAAAUAUAAGAAUCAAUUGUAGAAUUUCACCUAAAAUUUUCAUUUAAAAUGAUGAUUUAACCUGCUACCUUAGCUUACUGUUACUCUGUUAAUGGCUUAGUAACUAAAAUGUUAUAACAUGAUAACGUAAGUGACUAAAAUGUAACCUAAGGCAAACAAAAGUGACUAUUUUGAUAGUUUACUCUAAUUUUUUUAUAAUUUUUAUGAUUUUUAAUAUUUUUUAUGAACAAAUAUAAGAUUAAAUUAUAAAUUAACACGUGUAACUAUUUUAUUGGCCUGUCAAUUAAUUUUAAUGGUAACAUAGUCAAAUAUAAAAGCUAAAGCUCAAUUGGUUGUAAAUUUAGUGGAUUUAAAAAAAUUAUAUUUAAAUCGAAAAAGCUCAUAGAGUAAGCACAGUCAUGACAUGAAAUCGAGUUGAAUUUAACGUAAAAGAAAUUUGUUAAAAUAUGCUCAAAGUUGUUAUAUUCUUCGUAUAUUUAUGAUUUAGUCCUCAUAUUUUUAUUUUUAAAAUUUUAGUUUCUCUAUUUUUAAGAUUUAAAAUUAUAAGUUCAAUUAUUAAUAUUAUUAAUUCUUAUGUUAAAUUUAAAUUCAUUACAAAUUUUUUAAAUGAUUACAAGUGAGUAAAUUUUUUAUUUUAAGAUAUUACAUUAAUGAAUUUAAUAGAAUAAUUUUGACGUAUUUCAUGAUAAAUAGAUUAAAACUCAAAUGUAAGAUUGGAUUUAAAAUUGAACCUUUCUACUUUAAAGAAAUUUGAUAAUUUUUAUGCUGAAGUUUAAAUUCAAUCAUUUUUGUUUGAGGUUAAAAUCAAGUUGGAAUUAAUUUUAUAAUAUUGAAUAACAACAAAGUAAAAUAAAAAAAUAAUUGAUUAAAUUUAUAAAUGAUUGGUCAGCAUAUUAAAUUCAAUUCUAUAAAUAAUUUAACUCGAUAAUAAUAAUGAAGUUAAAUUUAACUUUUCAAACUAAACUAAAGUAAAUUGCGAAGCAAAUGCUUGAUUUGCUAGCCAUUGCAUCUAUGUAGGUGGCAAAUUGUCAAAAAUAACAUAAAACUUUCACGUUAUUUUAGAAUAAUAAAUCAAUUUUUUUCUAAAUUUUUAACUUUUUUUGAAAAAAUUUAAAUUUAAUUAAAAUAUUAAAAAUUAAAAGUAAAAUUCUAAUUUAUUAUUCUCCUAUUAAAAAAUAUAAAAAAUAUAUGGAAUCGUAGUUUUAUACCCUCUUCCAUUCUCUAUAUGGUAUAUGGUAAAAAAAAAAAAAAAGCGAAGGCACUAAAGCCGAAAAAGAAAAGGCCACGAACAAUGGUGGGAAAAGCCAAAAGCACCAUCCACUAGACGCUGCCUACACCCCAACAUGCAACCGGAAGAAAAUAAGGUUCCGUUACUAUCCGAUCAAGACUCGGACGAGGAUGUAGCCUACGACUCCGGUUAAAAGGUCCACAUCGUUGGAAUCAACGAACCGGACGAUGAAGCUUCACUGGGUGUCGUCCCACCUUUUUCCUGGAAAAAGCUUUGGCUUUUCGCCGGAGCCGGUUUUUUAAUCUCAAUAGCGUUUUUGGACCCUGGGAAUUUAGAAGGCGAUCUCCAAACCGGAGCUAUAGCCUGUUACUCUUUACUGUGGCUGUUGAUGUGGGCUACGGCUAUGGGGUUGUUGGUUCAGUUGUUGGCUGCAAGGCUUGGUGUGGCGACAGGGAAACACUUGGCUGAGCUUUGUAGCGAAGAGUACCCGACUUGGGCUAGGAGGGUUUUGUGGGUGAUGGCGGAGCUGAUAUACAGGAAGUCAUUGAAAGUGCUAUUGCUAUUAAGAUUUUGAGUAAUGGUGCUUUGCCUUUGUGGGCUGGAGUUCUUAUUACAGCUAGUGAUUGGUUAGUGUUCUUGUUGAUAUUUUGAGUUAUUAUUAUUGUAGUUAGAAGUAUUUGUGUGCAUUAAAGGUUGCUUCUUUAUGAUAUAUGAUGUCUGAAUUUUCAAGGUUUUCGGUUUAUUUUCUAUGCUCACCUGGUUCUUCGUUUUCUUUGCCUUGGUACAGUUUUAUCUUCUUGUUUCUUGAAAACUAUGGAGUGAGGAAGCUGGAAGCAUUUUUUGCUGUCCUUAUUGCAACAAUGGCCGUCUCAUUUGCUUGGAUGUUCGGUGAAACAAAACCAAGUGGCACCGAGCUUCUUCACGGUGACAAACUCGGCUCCAUUGUAGCAAAUUCCAUGCUUCAUAUAUCUCAAUAAAUUUCAUUUAGUAUUGCAGUUCAUUGAUGCUCAAAUGGUUUCAUAUUUUCACAUGUGUUUUGGUUCCAAAACUCAGCUCCAAAACCAUCAAGCAGGCUGUGGGAGUUGUGGGCUGUAUUAUUAUGCCUCACAAUGUAUUCUUGCACUCUGCUUUAGUGCAAGUAACAAGAAAGGCCAGGUGCAAGAAGCUCUCAAUUAUUACUCGAUCGAGUCGACUGCUGCACUUAUAAUUUAAUUUAUAAUCAACCUGUUUGUUACCACUGUCUUUGCUAAAGCAUUUUGCAGGCCAGUAUCUUGAAGAAAAAUAUGGAGGCGGGUUACUCCCCAUUUUGUAUAUUUGGGCUAUUGGGUUGUUAGCAGCUGGACAAAGUAGCACUAUUACAGGCACUUAUGCAGGGCAGUUUAUCAUGGGAGGCUUCUUGAAGCUGAAGUUGAAAAAAUGGGUAAGAGCUUUGAUCACAAGGAGUUGUGCAAUUAUUCCUACUAUUAUAGUUGCUCUUGUUUUCGAUUCGUCUGAAGCAGCCCUCGAUACAUUGAACAAAUGGCUUAAUGUGCUUCAGUCAAUUCAGAUCCCUUUUGCUCUUAUCCCACUUCUUUGUCUAGUAUCCAAGGAACAAAUCAUGGGUGCCUUCAGAAUUGGCCAUGUACUCAAGGUAUGCUGCUAAUCGCCUUGUGUUGCGACUUGUUAAUACAUUAACCCGUCUCUACUGCCACUGACUGUGGCAUGAGCUAUAUAAAAUGCGAAAUUGGUUCAUUGAAAACGAUGUAGCGACCCUGAUAGCAGUUAGAACUUCUUACAUUCCAUCUUUUAGCAGGGGACAAUGUACAACUUUUGUUGUCUAAAAGCUACCUCUUGAGAGUUCGAGUUUCAGUACAUUUUCCAUUCAUAGACACUGUUAUACUGGAAUUCCUUGACGCCAUUGAUAUAACCUAGCUCUUUUUCUACACCCAGUCAUGAACUAAAUGCUUGUACCGUUCCAUCACGCAAACUAUCGACUCAUGCUAUUUGAUAAGUUCCACUUAUUUGGUGAUCAACAUCUUCAUACAUGCUUCAGUUCAUCAAUAUUUUCCCUAUUAAGCAUAGGAAAGGAAAUGUCAGUGAGUGAUGAUUGCCUUAUCAACACUAAAAUAAUGUGGUUACUGCAUGUAGAUCCUGUCAAAGAAGAAUUCGCCUUGUUUACGUUUUCCCCUCUCUUCUGCAGACAGUGGCAUGGAUUGUGGCAGCGCUGGUGAUCGUGAUCACCGGGUUUCUUUUACUCAAUUUCUUCUCCUCCGAAGUGAGUGGCCUAAUGUUCACAAGUAGUGUCUGCCUUUACAGGCGCAUAUCUUGCAUUUUUAGUUUACCUUGUUUCUCGAGGCUUUUCGACGUUUGAUACUCCCUAAACCGGCAUAUCGAAUCAAAGAAGUCGAUCUUAGACACCCUUGUCAAGGCAUGAUAUCAGAAAGCUCGAAACACCUUACACCUACUACCAAAUGCCAAUAUUGAUGAAAGCCUCCUAGUGGGAUUACUGUUUGAAACAACAGUGUUGUAAACAAUAUAUUUAUCAUAUCUUGCUGGAUAUAGAGGAUUGGAGUGAGUGAGACUCUAAACAAAAACAUUCUUUUCAAACAUUUCAAGGAACCAAACACUGUAGUUUUGAAAAUCUACCUUAAACUUUGUCCAAGCUGGAUAAUACGUGAACCAGCUUUUCAACAAAACAUGUAUUUCAAUUUACUGAUGCAUUUGGUUUUAUUUUAUUUUAUUUUAUUAUUAUUAUAGAAAUUUCUACUAAUAUUAGGAUUGCUUUUAACAAAUUGCUUUUUUUUUCUUCAUAUUCUUUGAUUCUAAAAUAUCUAUUUAUAUUGUGACCGCUUUCAAAAGAUUGAAACACCAACAUUUCGUAUUGCUUGUACUUGAAUAAUCUAUUCUAAAUAAAAUAUAUAUUACUCAGAAAGUAAAAUGUUAAAAUUUUGAAUUUUUUCAUAGUUUUUACAAAUGGUUUAAUAAUGAUUAAAAUUUUUUCAUUAGCAUUUUAUUUGAAUUAUUAAAAUAAUUUCUAUGUUAAUUAUUAUUUUGUAUAAUGAUGUUUUGUAUUGAUUACAUCUUGUAUAUUGAAUACGGUAAAAUUGAUUUAAUUAAAAUUUAAAUAUUUUUAAAAUUUUUUAAUAUUUAAAGUAUUAAAUAAGUUAAAAUAUUUUAAGUAUAAUGAUUUUUUUGAUCCUUCAAUUUUUAAAAAAUAAAUAUUUAACCCCAAAUAAUUUUUCGCCUCUUUUAACUUUUAAAUUUAUAUUUCUUGUCAAAUUAUCUAAAAUAAAUAAAAAGUUAACAUUGCGACGUGUCAUUCACAUGGUAAUCUAUAUGUAUGUCACGUAAAUAAAGUUAAAAAACAUUUAGCUUUUUCUUCUAUUUUAAGGAAAUUUAAUAAAAAAGACAAAAAAUUAAAUAAAUUGUUAAAAUAAAUUUUUUUAUAAAAUUAGAGAGUCAAGUCAUUAUGCCUAUAUUUUAAUAGAUUUCAUUUAGAUGGAUGAUCAGAUUGAUUCCAAUAAAGCUAAAAUCAGCCGCGAUGAUAAGAUUAAUAACUAUAGCAAUUAGAUUAAAAUUAGUGAUGAAUAAAAUGCGUAAAAUUUAUAUAUACGGGUAUUUUUAAUGAAUUUUUUUUAUUUUAUCCGAUAAAAAUGAUGUAAGGAUAUUUAGUUAUUUAUUACAUGAAGUAGGAUUACUACUUUUGGCCAAUCAUAAAAGUAUAAAAGAAAAUAAAUUCUAAAAUUCCAGUCAAAAUACCCAUAAAGAAAUUCCAAAACGACGAGAAUCUGCCAAUCUCCAACUAAGCAACGCCAGCAAAACGAUUAAAUAAAUUAAAAAAAGUAACUAAUUCCCAAAAAUUAAAAAAAAAAAAAAGAGCUUGAAAAAGGAAAAAGAAUGGCCUAAAGACCCAGCAACAGGAUAGCGAAAUCUGGGACUUAAUUAUUUUUUCUUUUUGGAAAGAUUAGUGAUAUCAAUAAACAAGAAGGAAAAAAAAACCCAAAAUUCAAAGCUGCAUUAAGGUAUUUUUUCUUUGGCUUUGGAAAUCUCUCUUUAUAUUGUUGAGUUCAAUUAUCUUUUUGGUUUUUGUAUAUGCAUUUGUGUUGUUGUUUACUUAUUUGGAGUUGGGUAUUUUUUUGAAAUAAUAGGUAAACCCAUUUGAUCUAAUUAGUUCCUUUAUGAUCAUAUUGUUUCAUGGUAUGAUUUUGAAAGGCUAAGUGGGUGUUUUGGAUAAAUUAUAUUUGAAGGACCACUGAUGGGGUUUUAGGGUUAAUUUUUAUUCAUUUAUUUAUCUGCCUUGCUGCUGGGGAAGUGCGAAAAACAGCUUAUGUUUGUUCAAUGAACCAAUUUAAUUUUUUAAUGAGUAUGACACUGAUAUGCAGGAGUGCCAAAAUCAGUAAGUUCUAAAACGAUUUGAUUAGGUUGUGACUUUACUAUUCUGUUAUUGGGAAGUUGGAAAGCAAGUAAAUUAUAAACUAAGAAAUAUAAAUGAUAUUAGAAACCAUUUCUGAUAGGUUUUGGAAGUAAUGGUUUAGGUAAAUUUGUAGCUUCAUUACAGCGCGCUUGUUUUCAUCUAGUAGCAUGUGGAACUUGACCAUGGUUCCCACGACAUUUUAUGUUUGUUUUUGUAAUUCUUGUUGAGACCUUUAUGUCCUUGAUUUGAAGCAUCAACUGAUUGAUUUGUAUAGGAUGGCUCUUUAUCCCAGUAUUCUUAUCCGGUUAUUUUGUUCUAAUAGUGUCUUUUUUCUAUUCUAAAAGGUGUGUCUGAUGUGCAGUAGGCGAAAUAUAUCCAAAUAACUAAUUGUUGAUUUCCUAGAAAUUAGGGCAGUAGUGAAGAGGGACUGCAGGUAGUACAGAAGCUUACAAAGUAUUGGAGUUAAGGCAAAUUCAUUUUAUCUAAUCUUUAGAGAAGGGUUUGGCUUGUUUUUAGUCAAGUAACUCUCUUUGGUAGUGGGUGAGUGGGGAUUGUGUUAUGUUUAAUGUGGAGAGGUCGCUGCUCUUGAUUAUUUCUUUUAGGUUUGCGUUUGUUACAUUUCAUGGAUGCUAGGAAAAUUAUCAGCAUAAUGAACUUUUUAAGGAAACUUUGCUGUAAUUGCUGUGAGUGUUUUGGAGGUAAAUAUUAUAUUUGAUGGUUUAAAUAUUUUUUUUUUUAUUUUGUUCGUGCUCUUAAUAUUUUAAGUUUCAAUCAAGCUUGAUCUAAAAUUUUGAUUCUACAGUGGGAUUACUAGUUGGCAAAAGUGAGAUUUCAAGAACCUGUCUGGUUCUUGUUAUCAAGAUAGUGUGCUACAUGGGCUAUGGUGCUGAUGUUCAAAAGGGUUUUCUUGAGUUUUAUGGAAUAAUAUGGUUUCCAAAGUAUUCGUCAUCCAUUAUUGAGAAAGGAUUUUGCUGUUAGAAUUUAUGAAACACGGUAUGUACUAUGUCCUUGUUGUAUGUGUCUUUCAGGCUUCACUUUUUUCGCCCUCCAAACUUCUGCAAAUGAGUUCAUGCAUUUUGUCCUGUAUCAGUUCGGUUAUGAAAAAACUGUUAUGUUGGCAGCAUAAGCUCUAGUUCAUUGAUAUUUUGCUUUAGGUUAAAUUGAAUUCCGAGAAAGGAAUUAUGUUGUUAAACUAAAGUAAUUAGGCCCAAAGUUUUCUCCCUGUUGUUUCACGACAAAGAUACUUGCAUCUUUUGUUUGCUUAUUAUUAUUCUUAAAGUUUUUCUCCUUCUACUCUUUCUUACGCGCGAUCUUUCUGACUUUUUUUGUUACCCAGAUCAUAUGGAGAUUUCUUUGUUAAAAGCACUUCUGGGUAACAUUUCCUCAUUUUUAAAUUUGUCAUCUUUUGAGAACAUUAACUCAGAACCAGUUCAGAAGUUUUACCAGAGAGCAGAAGAGAUACUACAGUUGUUGAAGCCAAUUCUUAGCGCAAUCAUUGAUUCAGAAAUUACUUCUGAUGAAGUGCUUAGUAAGGCAUUUGAAGGAUUGAGUCUCUCUAUAGAAGAAUUGAGAGAGCAAUUCGAGAGCUGGCAACCCCUUUUGAGUAAAGUUUACUUUGUAAGUUACUAGUUACUUGAGUUCACAUCUUCACUUAGCAAUUUUAGUCCACUUAUGACUGGAAAAGAAGUACCUAAGUUAAACAUCUAGGCAUUGGCAUUCACCUGAUAUUGUGAAGCUUUGAUCAAUUACCCGUCUGAACAUUAAUAUUUUCACAUGAGAUGCAUGUUGUAGAUUAUUGCUGUCAUUUUACAGUUAAUUCUUGUGGAUGUUUUCUGCCACUAUGGUCUAUGAACACAUUUUCUUCUAAUUUCUUAUGGUUAUUAGAACAUCAUCAUGUUUGUCCUAAGAGAUUGUUGGAAUAUAUGGCUUUUGGAAUAAGUUUAGCCCCUAAGUGCUGAUUCUUGAAUGUUCGCUCAUAUUUAGGUAGAAAGUUGCUAUAUAUGGGUGCCCUUUUAGGAAAUAAUGUUAUAGAAGAAUAUAAUUUUCUUUUAAGGUACUAUCAGUCAAUUAGUGUUGUCCUUUAGUUAAAUGCACUUGGAUAACUAUCUUCUCUUUCACUUGACCUUUAGGUUCUGCAAGUUGAGUCAUUAAUAUCGAAGAUUCGGAAUUUUAGCCUUGAUGUAUUCCAGUUCUUGAAGUCUUCCCAUCAGCAUCUGCCUGAUGAAUUGAAUUCAGCAUCUCUUGAGGUAAUUUAAAACCCAAGUUAAUUGAAGCUUUUACUUUUAUUUGAAGAUUGUACUCUUCAUCUUGUAUUUAAGUUUUAUAAAUACAGCAUAAUUAUUGUAUUCUCACAAUGAUUACCAAAAAACUGUCAUGUAUUGGAGCGUGAAUGGCAUCUAAGUAUACAGUUGUGAGAUGUGAAAAAAUAUGCAGCUUUCAUUUUGAUUUAAUUUCUGAGUUCAAAGAAUGCUAAAGGGGAUUCCACAUUUCAGGAUGUUUAACUAUUGGCAAUUGAUUGCAGCACUGCUUGCAGAAAAUUAAGCUUGUAGCAUAUGAGCAAGCAUCAUCUGUCAUCAGGGAAGCCAUACGGGAUCAAGUGGAUAGUGUUGGACCAUCCUUGGACAUAAUAGUGAAAAUUGCAGAGAACUUGAGUUUGAGGUCAAACCAGGAGAUUCUGAUAGAGGCCGUGGCCCUUGAAAAGUUGAAGGAGAAUGCUGAACAAGCUGAAAAAACUGCAGAAGCUGAGUUUAUUGAUCAAAUUAUUGCUCUUGUAAAUCGCAUGCAUGAUCGUCUUGUAUUAAUGAAACAAUCUGAGACCUGUAGCCCAGUUCCAAUACCUGCUGAUUUCUGCUGCCCCCUUUCCCUAGAGCUAAUGACUGAUCCAGUGAUUGUGGCAUCUGGCCAAACCUAUGAGCGGGCUUUCAUCAAGAACUGGAUUAGUCUUGGGUUCACUGUGUGCCCCAAGACACGGCAAACUUUGGCUCAUACCACUCUUAUACCUAAUUACACAGUAAAGGCACUAAUUGCAAAUUGGUGCGAGUCAAACAAUGUGAAGUUGCCUAAUCCCACGAAGUCCAUCAAUUUAGACCAAUCCCACCCCCUUCUUGUGCACGCAGAGUCUGGCUUGCCAAGGGAUUCAAAUAGUUUUCCUCCCCCUAGAAUCAGCCAACCAUUGUCACCUGAGUCACGGUCUAGAGGUCAAGCUGGUAAGAACCUAGUCACAUCCAGUGGACUUCAUCACAAGGGAACCUCCCCACUACAUCCUCGUUCUACCUCAGAAAGUUCCUUGCCAGCUAUAGCUGGAAAUGGAGGGGGUUUGGAUGUUGCAAGAAUAUCACUAAAGAGUGUGGAAGACAGGUCAAAGUUGGAACGAAGGUAUAGCGAUUCUGUUGGUGAACCCCCUGUGUCACCUUCUAACAAUAUUGGUCAGUCAUCUCAGAACCGCACAAGAUCUGUCUCAGCCUCUAGUGCACUUCCUAAUCCAGAUUCUCCUCUAGGAGCUGUUGGAGAUGCCAAUGAGACUUCUGAUGGUUCAACUCAUCUCGCAGCCUACAAUAGUGAUGCUUCUGGAGAGGUGAAAUCUGAUGCACAGCCUACAGUUAGCUCAGCCAUUCCACAAAGAGAACCUCAGUUUCCUCCUCGGUUGAUGGAUACACGAUCUCGAAGCCAAACAAUCUGGCGCCGGCCAUCGGAAAAAUUCAUUCCAAGAAUAGUUUCUUCUCCUGGUGUUGAGAACAGGGCUGACCUUUCUGGCAUUGAAGCCCAGGUGAAGAAGUUAGUGGAGGACUUGAAGUGCACUUCAGUUGAUACUCAAAGAGAGGCCACAGCUCAACUCAGGUUACUUGCUAAGCACAAUAUGGAUAAUCGGAUUAUAAUAGCGAACUGUGGGGCCAUUGUCUUGUUAGUUGAUUUGCUUCAUUCACCGGAUACGAAGACUCAAGAAAAUGCUGUUACAGCACUUCUUAACUUGUCAAUUAAUGAUAACAACAAAACAGCAAUCGCUGAUGCCGAUGCAAUUGAGCCUCUGAUUCAUGUCCUUGAGACAGGAAGCCCUGAAGCUAAAGAAAACUCAGCUGCCACUCUCUUCAGCCUUUCAGUCAUUGAGGAUAACAAAGUCAAGAUUGGAAGGUCUGGGGCAAUCAAGCCUCUUGUUGAUUUAUUGGGGAAUGGUACUCCUAGGGGAAAGAAAGAUGCAGCUACCGCUUUGUUUAAUCUGUCAAUAUUUCAUGAAAACAAGGCUCGAAUUGUGCAAGCCGGUGCUGUAAGACACCUUGUGGACUUGAUGGACCCAGCAGCUGGAAUGGUUGAUAAGGCAGUUGCUGUUUUGGCUAAUCUUGCUACAAUUCCUGAAGGGAGGAAUGCUAUUGGGCAGGAGGGUGGGAUUCCUGUGCUGGUCGAGGUUGUUGAGUUGGGCUCAGCGAGAGGAAAGGAAAAUUCUGCUGCUGCCCUUUUACAACUCUGCACAACCAGUGGUAGAUUUUGCAAUAUGGUUCUCCAAGAAGGAGCUGUUCCACCACUAGUGGCAUUGUCCCAGACCGGCACCCCAAGAGGUAAAGAGAAGGUAAUAGUUAUGCUGUUCUUUUUUCUUUUAUUUCUCACUAAACCUUUCUUCUUUACCGUUAUUUAAGCAUGAGUUGAUCACAGGCACAGGCACUUCUGAGCUACUUCAGGAACCAACGACAUGGUAGUGCUGGAAGAGGCUGAAAGUAGGCAUUGGGUCUAAAUACAGUUUGUAUACAUUUGAUGCUUCAAAUAAUGCAUUUUGAAGGUUUGCUGCUUGGGCUUACAUUUUAUACAGGGUUUUGUUGUAGAGAAAAAGAGAUUUUAUUUGUAGAGUCCUCUUGUGAAGUGCUUCUGAUACGUGGCAAUUGUGAAAUGUAAGAAGUUUCCUACAUGUGAGUCCGUCUGGUGUUUGCAGCCGGGGGAGAAGACGAUAGGAACCAAUGAAUAACGUCUGUCCUGGUUUAUCCCAUGUGCCUAAUUAUUUUUCGCUCGAAACUGUUCUUUCAGAUUAAACUAAAUAAUCAGAUUGAUUUGUAAGAUAUGCAUUUGCUGCCAUUUUAAGCUUUUCUGUACUUUCAUUGGAACAUUGUCUAACCAAACAACUCCUUUUUUCCCUGUAAUGGUUCAUAAGCUAUAUAUGAUCGUUUCAGUUUUGUUACUUUGACAAUGUUUAACCUGCACAAACGAUCUUGAGAUUCAUUAGCAUUGGUAUUAGUAAAAUAAAUUGUGAUUUUAUUAUAUAAUCGAAAAAGUUAAAGACAGAAAAUGGGUAAAUGAAGGGGAAAAAACAAGAAUAGUGGAAAUUACAGAGGAAAAAAAAAAACUAGAGUUUCCGCCUCUCAGUACACCAGCCAAAGAAUUACAACGCAAAAUGUGGAAUGUGAUCAAAACCAAUCUAGAAGCUCAAAGCAAUGGCUGCCCAUCCCAACGCCAACCCUCCAAUUAUCUUCUUCAUGUUCUUCAUUGCCUCUGCUCCACUCUGCAUUUGUUUACAAUAACUCUUUAAAUUUUACAGAUAAAUAUAGUUUUAAGAUGAAAAAAAAGAUCCGUUGGUCUGUCCUUUUUCAGAAAAUUAAAUGAACUAGCUCAACGGUGCAUCCUUUAGACGCGAUUAAACGAAAAACAAGAUCUCUCUACAUUUAUGCAGUGUAAAAGUUCAGAUCUGAAAGCGCAUUGUUAUAUGAUGUAAGCUACUGAAACGUUAGUAAAGAGAAGAGAAUGUACCUCGUCGGCAGCGACAGAUGGACCGGGAGAGGAAGCAUCGAGGCUCGGUCCAGGAGCUCCAGUUGGUGGAGCGGGAGGUCCAAGCAUAUCAGGUGAAGGAGCCGGAGCAUGGUGUUUCUUGGAUUUCUUGCUUUUGCUCUUGCUUGGAGCUGGGGCCGGAACCUCAGCAGUAGUUGGUGCCGCAACAGGAGCCGGAGGAGAGGCCGAGCUCUCUGGUGGAGUCGUCGGUGCAGCAACGGGAGGCGAUCUGGCUGGAGGAGAGCUCACAGGUACUGGAGCCGGUGGAGAACUCACCGGAGCAGCAGCCGGAGGAGAAGACGGAGCAGAUUUAGAUGGGGCUGGAACCGCCGCAGACUUCUCCGGAGCCGCAACCGGUGGUGAAGAAGUUGGUGGGGAAGUGGUAGGGGCAGCAGUUGGAGCCGGUGAUUUAGGUUUGCUAACAGGGGCAGUAGCGGGAGCAGUAGCAGGAGUAGUCGCGGCCGGCGGAGCUUUAGUAGGUGAGGCUGCCGGAGAUUGACCACCAACAGCGGUCACCACAAAACAAAUCAAAACAACUGCAAAUGCACUUCUACGAUCCAUUUCUUGAAGACAGAGGGAGAGUGAAGUAGUAACAGAAACUAAUGACAAGGAGACAACAGACUCUCA
This 37320-nucleotide long non-coding RNA is filed under the name Gossypium barbadense (sea-island cotton). Its description in RNAcentral is "long non-coding RNA (GBAR_LNC011371)". The record is from RNAcentral. Lineage: Eukaryota; Viridiplantae; Streptophyta; Magnoliopsida; Malvales; Malvaceae.